GGAUAUUGUUUUGUGCCAUAUGCAGCCAACUUGCCUGUUUUUGUGCAUAGCAAUCACAAGGUACCAUCUUGUGCAAAACGUACAAGGGAAAUCACUGUGAUUGGAAUGAGAGGUGGCCCACAGCUGUUUACUUUUGAAUUUUGCUCAUGUGAGAGUGACACCGUCACACUACUACGCCAUCGCCUUUGGGGUUCUUCCCCAGAAAUACCAUCUGUGGCAUUUAAACUGGAUGUCAUGGAGUGGUUGCGUGCAUUAGUGCUUGAAUGCCAGGUGUCAGUUAAGGGCUUUGUCGAUGCAUUGGCAACCCGACUUAGCAAGAUAGACAGCAUGAGCAGCAAGAAGGUUAAUGGAGUAUAUCAGGCCCUAGUAACUGAUGCAUUUACAAUGUACAUGCACCAUGAAUACCAGUUUGCAGCAUUUGCAACACAUUGAUCCAGAUCUUGAAUGAUGGAACUGAUUGUCUGCCUGCCAUGUGGCCAAAGAAGACAUUGAGGUUAAUGCAGAAGACCCUGCAACUGAUGGAAGUCAAAAAGUGUUGUCUGAAAAUAACCGAAUAUUUUCAUUUGAUGCCAACUUUGGCCUAUCACGGAAAAAGUCAUCUGGCAAAAGCCCCGGUGAGGCUUUCCACAGGGCGUUACUUCCUGGACCAGACAGAAGUAGAUGAUUUU
Pomacea canaliculata is the source of this 668-nucleotide long non-coding RNA. RefSeq lists it as uncharacterized. The record is from RefSeq and is a predicted model, not a curated record. The transcript is spliced from 5 exons. NCBI's taxonomy places the organism in Eukaryota, Metazoa, Mollusca, Gastropoda, Architaenioglossa, Ampullariidae.